CCCCGAGUAGCUCAGUUGGAAGAGCGUUCGGCUGUAACUGCCUUACCUCGAAACCGAAAGGUCACCUGUUCGAACCAGGUCUCGGGGA
Molecule: transfer RNA, 88 nt
Filed under: Fusarium lateritium
Lineage: Eukaryota; Fungi; Ascomycota; Sordariomycetes; Hypocreales; Nectriaceae
Also listed under: 22 other names
Description: tRNA-Tyr
Rfam family: tRNA
About the family: Transfer RNA (tRNA) molecules are approximately 80 nucleotides in length. Their secondary structure includes four short double-helical elements and three loops (D, anti-codon, and T loops). Further hydrogen bonds mediate the characteristic L-shaped molecular structure. tRNAs have two regions of fundamental functional importance: the anti-codon, which is responsible for specific mRNA codon recognition, and the 3' end, to which the tRNAs corresponding amino acid is attached (by aminoacyl-tRNA synthetases). tRNAs cope with the degeneracy of the genetic code in two manners: having more than one tRNA (with a specific anti-codon) for a particular amino acid; and 'wobble' base-pairing, i.e. permitting non-standard base-pairing at the 3rd anti-codon position.
Source: RNAcentral